CAGCAAUGGAUAAAAAAACAGAUGGUAGGGAGAGAGAGCCACUGGAUCGGCCUCACAGACUCAGAACGUGAAAAUGAAUGGAAGUGGCUGGAUGGGACAUCUCCAGACUACAAAAAUUGGAAAGCUGGACAGCCGGAUAACUGGGGUCAUGGCCAUGGGCCAGGAGAAGACUGUGCUGGGUUGAUUUAUGCUGGGCAGUGGAACGAUUUCCAAUGUGAAGACGUCAACAACUUCAUUUGCGAAAAAGACAGGGAGACAGUACUGUCAUCUGCAUUAUAACGGACUGUGAUGGGAUCACAUGAGCAAAUUUUCAGCUCUCAAAGGCAAAGGACACUCCUUUCUAAUUGCAUCACCUUCUCAUCAGAUUGAAAAAAAAAAAGCACUGAAAGCCAAUUACUGAAAAAAAAUUGACAGCUAGUGUUUUUUACUAUCCGUCAUUACCCAAAGACUUGGGAACUAAAAUGUUCCCCAGGGUGAUAUGCUGAUUUUCAUUGUGCACAUGGACUGAAUCACAUAGAUUCUCCUCCGUCAGUAACCGUGCGAUUAUACAAAUUAUGUCUUCCAAAGUAUGGAACACUCCAAUCAGAAAAAGGUUAUCAUUGGUCGUUGAGUUAUAGGAAGAACUUAAGCAUAUACUGUGUAAACAGUGCCAUACAUUUCUAAAAUCCCAAGUGUAGGAAAAAUAUGCAGACAUACAGAUAUAUAGGCCAACUCUUAGUAAUAAUAUGAAAUAUACUUAAAGAGCUUUUAAAACUUUGUAUUUUUGUACAAAAUAUUUGUCUUUUACAAUUUUUUUCCUUUUUUUUUUUGUCAUUUUACCGACAUAAUACAUGGAGCCAAAGAAAACAAUAAUGGUACUAAUAAAAACUCCUAGGGUUUCCUGUCAGAU
This 889-nucleotide long non-coding RNA is filed under the name Pan troglodytes (chimpanzee). RNAcentral describes it as "long non-coding RNA NONPTRT007488". Lineage: Eukaryota; Metazoa; Chordata; Mammalia; Primates; Hominidae. The record is from RNAcentral.